UACGUAGGGGGCUAGCGUUGUCCGGAAUCAUUGGGCGUAAAGAGCGUGUAGGCGGCCCGGUAAGUCCGCUGUGAAAGUCGGGGGCUCAACCCUCGAAUGCCGGUGGAUACUGUCGGGCUAGAGUGCGGAAGAGGCGAGUGGAAUUCCUGGUGUAGCGGUGAAAUGCUUAGAUAUGACAUAGAACACCCAUUGCGAAGGCAGCUCACUACGGGAAUAUUGACACUGAGGCACGAAAGCGUGGGGAUCAAACAGG
This 253-nucleotide ribosomal RNA is filed under the name uncultured bacterium. Its description in RNAcentral is "partial 16S ribosomal RNA". It matches the Rfam family "Bacterial small subunit ribosomal RNA", at positions 524 to 776 of the family's 1533-position model. The record is from RNAcentral.